RNAcentral lists this ribosomal RNA (553 nucleotides) under Delacampius lateralis. Its description in RNAcentral is "partial 16S ribosomal RNA". It matches the Rfam family "Bacterial large subunit ribosomal RNA", at positions 1796 to 2622 of the family's 2925-position model. The record is from RNAcentral. Lineage: Eukaryota; Metazoa; Arthropoda; Insecta; Hemiptera; Largidae.
UCGCCUGUUUUUCAAAAACAUGUCUUAUUGAUAAUAAUAUUAAGUCUAACCUGCUCAAUGAAUUUAUUUUAAUAGCCAUAGUAUCUUAACUAUGCAAAGGUAGCAUAAUCAUUUGUCUUUUAAUUGAAGGCUUGUAUGAAUGGUUUGAUGAGGGGUAUACUUUCUUAACUUAAAUUUUAUUUAAUUUAAUAUUUGAGUAAAAAGGCUUAAAUAUAGUUUUGGGACGAGAAGACCCUAUAGAAUUUUAUUAUUAUAUUAUAUUUUUAUUAUAAUAUUAGUGAGGAUAUUUUAUGAUAAUUUUGUUGGGGUGACAGUGGAAAUUUCUUAACUUCUAUUAUUUAUUAUACAUUAAUUAGUGUUUUAAUGAUCCUUUAUUAUGGAUUAUAAGAUUAAAUUACCUUAGGGAUAACAGCGUAAUUUUUUUGGAGAGUUCUUAUCGAUGAAAUAGUUUGCGACCUCGAUGUUGGAUUAAAGUUAAUUAUUAGUGCAGAAAUUAAUAAAUUAGGUCUGUUCGACCUUUAAAUCUUUACAUGAUCUGAGUUCAAACCGGAGA